This 488-nucleotide ribosomal RNA is filed under the name uncultured Sphingobacteriales bacterium. Its description in RNAcentral is "bacterial SSU rRNA". It matches the Rfam family "Bacterial small subunit ribosomal RNA", at positions 892 to 1382 of the family's 1533-position model. The record is from RNAcentral. Lineage: Bacteria; Pseudomonadati; Bacteroidota; Sphingobacteriia; Sphingobacteriales.
CUCAGAAACUUAAAGGAAUGACGGGGCCCGGCACAAGCGGGUGGAGCAUGUGGUUUAAUUCGAUGAUACGCGAGGAACCUUACCUGGGCUCAAAUGUAUGUUGACGUAUUCUGAAAGGGAUACUUCUUCGGACAAUAUACAAGGUGCUGCAUGGUUGUCGUCAGCUCGUGCCGUGAGGUGUCGGGUUAAGUCCCAUAACGAGCGCAACCCCUAUCAUUAGUUGCCAUCAGGUCAAGCUGGGGACUCUAAAGGAACUGCCUACGCAAGUAGUGAGGAAGGCGGGGAUGACGUCAAAUCAGCACGGCCCUUACGUCCAGGGCUACACACGUGCUACAAUGGCCGAUACAGAGGGCAGCUACCUGGUGACAGGAUGCAAAUCUCCAAAGUCGGUCUCAGUUCGGAUCGGAGUCUGCAACCCGACUCCGUGAAGUUGGAUUCGCUAGUAAUCGCGCAUCAGCCAUGGCGCGGUGAAUACGUUCCCGGGCCUU